UACAGGGGGUGCAACCGUUGCUCGGAAUCAUUGGGCGUAAAGCGCACGUAGGCGGUUCGUUAUGUCGGAUGUGAAAGCCCUUGGCUUAACCGAGGAAGUGCAUCCGAAACUGGCGAGCUAGAGUACUAAAGAGGAUCGCGGAAUUCCCGGUGUAGAGGUGAAAUUCGUAGAUAUCGGGAGGAACACCGGUGGCGAAGGCGGCGAUCUGGACGAUGACUGACGCUGAGACGCGAAAGCGUGGGGAGCAAACAGG
RNAcentral lists this ribosomal RNA (253 nucleotides) under uncultured bacterium. Its description in RNAcentral is "partial 16S ribosomal RNA". It matches the Rfam family "Bacterial small subunit ribosomal RNA", at positions 524 to 776 of the family's 1533-position model. The record is from RNAcentral.